UUUCCGUUCAGGUUUCCUAAGUGGGACAGGGGCAUUUAGGCUAUUCGUUCCACCAAGUCUACUCUACCAUUUGAUCAUGGUUGAUCUAUCUCUCCCCUCUCAAUCCCGUUCUCCUGCCUUCUCCCCAUAACCUGACACCCGUACUAAUCAAAAAUCUAUGUCUGCCUUGAAAAAUAUCCAUUGACUUGGCCUCCAGGGCCUUCUGUGGCAGUGGCGAUGGCAAGUGAAGGCUAACUGAAGAGAGAAGGUGCAACAAAGAAAUUACCCUUGCAUUUUCACAAUGUUCUUAGUCAUCAGUGAAUGUUAGCCAUGCAUUGCCCCUUUUGAAUAAAAAUCUGAUUCCUUCACCCCCAGCCUUUUAAUUAUUUAUGGUUAAAUACAAACUGCUGGAGGAACUCUGCAGAUCAGGCAGCAUCUGGAGGGUAUGAGACAGACAUCGUUUUGAGCUGGGACCCUUCUUCAGAUUAAAACGUCAUCUGUCUCUUUCACUCCAUGGACGCUACCUGAACUCGGGCAGUGCGGCACGGUGAUGCAGCGGUAGAGUUGCUGCCUUACCCUGCUUUCAGCCCCAGAGACCCGGGUUCGAUCCCGACUACGGGUGCUGUCUGUACAGAGUUUGUACGUUCUCCCUGCGAACCCGUGGGUUUUCUCCGAGAUCUUCGGUUUCCUCCCACGCUCCAAAUACGUACAGGUUUGUAGUUUAACUGGCCUGGUGUUUGUGUAAAUUGUCCCUGGUGUGUGCAGGAUAGAGUUAAUGUGUGGGGAUCGCUGGUCAGUGCGGACUCGGUGGGCUGAAGGGCCUGUUUCCGCGCUGUAUCUCUAAACUAAAACUAAAACCGUCUCGACCCGAAACGUCACUCACUCCUUCUCUCCAGAGAUGCUGCCUGUCCCACGGAGUUACUCUAGCUUUUUGUGUCUAUCUUCGGUAGAAAUCAGCGUCUGCAGUUCCUUCCUACACAUAAAACUAAAACUCCUCCAAAUGUUUUUUUUUUAAAACUCAAGAUUUCAGCCCCUGCAGUCUCUUGUGUCCGUCGUUCUUUGGUUCCUUUUGAAGUGUGAGGGUGAAAUUAGUCUCUCUUCUCCCCCCCCCAGUGAAGAGGAAUAUCAAUGGAUCAUAAGCUGACAGUUUCACACUUUGCUUGAACUUCUCCAGUGUGAGUUCAAAAGGAAAAUAAAAUUGGACGCCGUGUAAAAGUGGCUAUUGAUUUGUUCCGUUUGGCAUGGUUGGGGAAAGCCCGAUUUCACUCUUGUGCCCUUGCCGGGCUGGUCACUGUGAUAAGCAGUCGUGUCACGUCGCAAUAACCCAGUCGAUCGCAGUUGGAUUUACAGCCGCUGAUUACAGCUGUUAUUGCGGGGCCAUGAUCGACAAUUUGUACCCUGGUCUCGGAACGGGUUCGCCCCAUCUGCACAUUCAUCGCCACCUCCACAGAAAGCGCGGGAAACGCUUAGUAAAUCAGACAACGCGGCCUGGAGUGAACGGAGGGCCAGUGACCUUUCCACAGAAAUAGUUCCAGCACUGUUUUCCUGCCAAGUUUCCAGUCCCUCAAGUAUUUUACUGUUGCAUAUUAAGGCACACAGUCCUGGCUAUGACUUCAUAAGUUCUUAAGUUAAAGGAGUAGAAUUACUCCGAAGGACCCAACCUCUUCAGAUUUCAGUUAUUAGCAUCGUUCAAUUAUUAUGUGGUCUGAAUUUCUAAAUUAAGCUCAGUUCCGUCUUAUGAUCAUAAGUGAAUUAGCAGAAUGAGGCCAUUCGGCCCAUCAAGCCAACCAAUCACGGCUGAUCUAUCUUUCCCUCACAACCCCAUUCUCCUGCCUUCUUCCCGUAACCCCUGACACCCGUGCUAUUCAAAAAUUCAAGCCUUUGAAAAAAAUAUCCAUCGAUUCGGCCUCCACAGCCGUCUGUGGCAAUGAAUUCCACAGAUUUGCCAUCCUCUGACUAAAGAAAUUCCUCCUCAUCUCCUUUCUAAAGGUACGUCCUUUAUUUCUGAGGCUGUGACCUCUGGUCCGCGACUCUCCCACUAGUAGAAACAUCCUCUCCGCACCCAUCCUCUCCACAUCCACCCUAUCCAGAUUGCUGAACUAAUCUAGCCCCUAUUGCAAUGAUGUGCGGAUGCCCUAUAUUAGGUUGGAAGCUUCAACCCAUUGGAGUGCACUUCAGCAUUCUCAAGGGUACUGAACAUGAGUUUUCAUCUCUCUGUAUAAAUGAAGUGUACACCUAAAUUCUAAAUUAUUUGGUGUGUACUUUCAAUAGCAGGACUCCCUGUCAGGAACUAUCCAUGCAAACAAUUACACUCAUAUUUUUGAUUUAUUUUGUUCUCAAAACAUAUAAAGGACAGCACGGUGGUGCAGCAGUAGAGUUACUGCCUCACAGCACCAGAGACCCGGGUUCGAUCCUGACUACGGGUGCUUGUCUGUAUGGAGAUUGUACGUUCUCCCCGUGAUCUGCGUGGGUUUUACCCAGGUGCUCUGGUUUCCUCCCACACUCCAAAGACGUACAGGUUUGUAGGCUAAUUGACUUGGUAUAAUUUAAAUUGGCCUUAGUGUGUGUCAGAUAGUAUAAGUGUGCGGGGAUCGCUGGUCGGUGCGGACUCGGUGGGCCGAAGGACCACGCAGUGUCUCGAAACUAAACUAAAAUGACACUCCUGCAAUUUUUCCCUUUUCACCGCAAAUUGAAAAGAGGACUUUUUUUUUUCUCUUGUUUCUGGAAUCCUGUUUGCAGCUAUCAAACAUUUCUCAUCUGUUUCCAUUUGCCCUGGACCUUUUUCCUUCUCCAUAAGUAGUUAAGGUAACUUGAUAUUUUUACGCAGCAGUGUUGCAGCAUUUCAAGAACACGGGAUUCCAAGUGUGGAAGGAAUGUACUUUUUAAAUGUCCAUUUCUCGAUAGAUUUCGGAAUGGCAACUUUUUUUGAUUCGAACCUAUAACUAUGCUUGAGUGUUUCUUGGUGAAGGACUGUUUUUGGGGAGGGAGGGGAGAGUGGUUGAGGGCAGUUUCAGUAACAAGGGGACAUGCUAGUGUGACUUAUCGCCUUGGAAUUUGCCGAUCUUGCUCCAAUUGCCUUCUGCAGCAAUCAAGUGAUUUUUGAUAAAAGUUUUAAUUUUUUUUUUCUCUUUUCAGUUUUUCUUCUUGGCAGAAACUGGGAAUUUAUUUGAAAUGUUGUGAGUUAUUUGAAAGGAUCCAAGUACACCAGCAUAAACUGGAAUUAGGUAGUGUUCCGAUUGUGUCCCACUUUUAUGAUUUUUCUUUAAGACUUUGCAAGUUAAGCGUAGUUAAUUUCCGUUCAUUUUUAGUGAGGUUGUUCUGUGAUUAUUAGAAACUUAAAUAUACAAUGUGUUAGGAGCAACAAUUGUACAGAACAAUCUUUGCAGUUAUGUGCUAACUUGCAGCAAUAUAUAUAUAAAUUUAAUAAGAUUUUUGAAUGUUUGAACAGUAAAAUGCUUUAAUCUUACUGUGGUGCUGUAACAUGAGCAGUGGGGAACCCACUUGAUCAGUAUUCAAAACAAAACAUCUUAAAGAGAGAUGUUCAUGUGUGUGUGUGCGUGUUUACAGAGAUCGUGUCAUGAGUAGGUUGUCUGUUGUUUGCACAGUAUUGUACAAAUAGUGACUGCUUUGACCACAUAUAGAUCUAGGCAUUUAAUGGGACACAGCAGGGAACAGUAGGGCUGCUUACCCCGUUACAAGGACAGGCCCAUAACUUUAAACUAAACUACUGUUAUCUGGUAAACCUAUCCAUGUUACUUCCCCAAUUUAUUUAAUUAUUUCAGAAAUAACCAAUCUCAUCUGAGUGUGUACAAGCUGUGAAAGUCGUGAAAAGCUUCCGACUGAAUGAAACUGAGGUUAUUUGGGUUUCUUACUUGCUAAUUCUUUAGCAAAUUGUCUCUUCUCCCCACCCCUCCGUAGACUGCUCCUACUGCAAUCCAUUAAUCCCUUGACCAAAAUGUAUAAGGUGUUAGUCAGUCCUCUCAAUACCGCUGGAGUGAACAUUAAUAAUAAGAGCCAGAGCCAUCUUUAAACCCACAAAUAUUAAUUAUAGCGAGUUAAAGCACUAACCAAAUGAAUAUGAAGCUAGUCACUUGGAUGCAAUCCAACUGGGCCACUUGGUCCCAAUGGUCUACACAGGCGUUUAAUACUCUACAGGAGUAGCACACUUUGAAUGUGAAGGAGAGUUGUCAUGAUGUCAGGUUAUGUUUUGCAGUGCAUGACUUUUUCCCCCAUAACUAUUCCGAUCAUAAAGGGUGCUGCUAACUUUUAACAGUGUGGACUGAUGUUGGUGGGAAACACAGCAUUAAAGAAAAUCGAAAAGGAUUUUUUUUUUUUUUUUUUUUUUUUUUUAAACUUUGUGUCCGAACUAGGUCUUAUCCCCAGAGGUGUGAUGCCCAGGGUAUCGUACAGAAUGAAACUUGCGCAAAAGAAACCGACUUUAACUUGGUGCCGAUUAAGAAAGCAGUCACAAUUUGUUCUGGUGUACUAUAUAUACACACCCUUGGGCUGGGAAUGCAGGGGAAGGAUAUCAGAAUAUUGGUGACUUUUGAUGCAAGCAAAAAAACCUCCAGCAAAUGUUGGAGCGUUAAACACAGCGUUAAAGAAUAUCUUUGAGCAGCAUUUUGUGCAUCAGCCGCGGGUGUAGUUUUCUUGAACGCUUAUUGAGUUGCAAAGCCUGCGACAAUUACGGAUAAUAACUACCGAGAAGGAAAAAUGUCGGUUUGGUUUAUUGUCACGUGUACCGAGGGGCAGUGAAAAAGCUUUUGCUGCGUGCCAACCGGUCAGCGGAAAGACAAUCCGCGAUUAGAAUCGAGCCUUUUACAGUGUGUGGAUACAUGUUGAGGGAGUAACGUUUAGUGCAAGGUAAAGCCAGCAAAGUACGAUAAAAGUAAGAAAUGUUGCCGUGGGAGUAGAGAUUUAAGAGUGUGGAGCGAUUGUAAUAUGGGAUUGUAGAUCUGCGUCUGUGGCUAGCAUGCAAAUAGUCGCCAUCUUGGGUUGGACGCCAUCUUGGGUUGGACGCCAUCUUGGAAUCAAACACUUGUACCUGGAUAAAUAAAACCAUACUUGCUUUGGAAUUGAUUUGAUGCUUUCUUCCUACAUCCCCUCGCCAACUUUUUGCUGAUACUGUGAUUUUAAUAAUUAUAUCACUAAAAGAGAUGGUUAUAGCGAUGGAAAUGAUGUGUUCAUUUAAAGAAAAUGUUUUAAAACGCUCCCCUCAACUUGGAAAUGUGAUAUUCUAAUAGUGUACAACACUGGUUUUCAUUUCAGUCCUUUUGUGUUCACUUGCUAUUCAUUUUAAGUGCCUUUUGUAUCACUUAGCAUCGAAGCAUAUGUUAAAAAUCAAAGGUGUUUAUUUUUAUUUUUUUAAACUGUGGGGAGUUCUAAAAUUGGCACCUCCACAGCCUUCUAAAGGGGAGCCAGCCUUCAGAAAUAACUGGCUCAGUGUUCACCACAUCCCAGGGUACAUAAUUGGUAGCACGCAAAAAAAAAAAACCCCACCCUUCCAGAGUUCACGGAGGGCAAAUAUCAGGAGAAAAA
Molecule: long non-coding RNA, 5517 nt
Organism: Leucoraja erinaceus (little skate)
Lineage: Eukaryota; Metazoa; Chordata; Chondrichthyes; Rajiformes; Rajidae
Exons: 2
Source: RefSeq, a predicted model, not a curated record